GUGGGGAAUCUUCCGCAAUGGACGAAAGUCUGACGGAGCAACGCCGCGUGAGUGAAGAAGGUUUUCGGAUCGUAAAGCUCUUUCGUUAGGGACGAACGUGCUCUUUGUGAAUAAUGAGGAGUAAUGACGGUACCUAAAUAAGAAGCCACGGCUAACUACGUGCCAGCAGCCGCGGUAAUACGUAGGUGGCAAGCGUUGUCCGGAAUUAUUGGGCGUAAAGCGCGCGCAGGCGGGAUAUCAAGUCUGUCUUAAAAGUGCGAGGCUCAACCUCGUGAGGGGACAGAAACUGGUAUUCUUGAGUGUCGGAGAGGAAAGUGGAAUUCCAAGUGUAGCGGUGAAAUGCGUAGAGAUUUGGAAGAACACCAGUGGCGAAGUCGACUUUCUGGACGAUGUCUGACGCUGAGGCGCGAAAGCUAGGGGAGCGAACGGGAUUAGAAACCCGGGUAGUCC
This 450-nucleotide ribosomal RNA is filed under the name uncultured bacterium. Its description in RNAcentral is "partial 16S ribosomal RNA". It matches the Rfam family "Bacterial small subunit ribosomal RNA", at positions 354 to 796 of the family's 1533-position model. The record is from RNAcentral.